This 934-nucleotide long non-coding RNA is filed under the name Homo sapiens (human). Its description in RNAcentral is "HSALNT0364407". The record is from RNAcentral. Lineage: Eukaryota; Metazoa; Chordata; Mammalia; Primates; Hominidae.
AGCAAUCAGCGAGACUCCGUGGGCAUAGGACCCUCUGAGCCAGGUGCGGGAUAUAAUCUCGUGGUGCACCGUUUUUUAAGCCAGUCUGAAAAGCGCAAUAUUCGGGUGGGAGUGACCCGAUUUUCCAGGACAGUGCUAGGACUGCUUUUUUCUAUAUCAGACACGUGGGCUCCUGCUGUGUCUUCCUGGAAAGCAGAGGCCAAGGAUGGAGCAGACCAAGAGGAUGCCAGGAAAAAUCACAAAGAAGCCCAGAAAGCACAGCUGGAAGCCAAGAACCCUAUUUUUGGUUUGUGUGGGUGGAAGGUGAGGGACAACAUAUAGUGACCAACAGGAUUCUUCAUUUGAAAGAGAAUGGAGUACAUCAGACCUGUGUAUUUAGGUGAAGUAUGAUAAACAUCAUCAUACUUCAAAGAUUAUGAACAUCAAAGAUUAUGGAAAGGAACAUGACUGCUUAGUUUAUUCCAUUACCAGUGAUCUGCUUGUUUGUUCAUUUGCUUACCCAUCCAUUCAUUUAUUCAUUCAUUCCUCCAUCCAUUCUCUUUCACUUAUUCUACAAUCAUGAUUGUAUGCCUACCAUAUCGCUAGAGAGAGGGCAGGAAAAGAUCCAAGGAUGUGAAUACAAUCUUCUGCUUCAUGAUGAGAGCUAAAGGAAUCUGUAAAGACUUUGUCUUUUUCAUUUUUCUCUCUCCUACAUAGACCCUGGAAAAUGUUUUAUUUCUUAUAAUUUGCCUGAGGUUUACUCAUCCACUACCAGAGCUCUGAAAACACUCUUCAGAACACUAUUUUAAAAUAAUGACAAUGACAAUAAUAGAUAACAUAUAUUCAGUGUUUUUUGUAUGUGAAGCAAUGUAAUAACCAUUUAAAAUGAUUGUAACUAUACUUUAUAAGAGUAUGAUGAAACAGGCACUAUUAAAAUGCUAGUUUUUCACACAGC